CUUGCUUCUCUUGAGAGCGGCGGACGGGUGAGUAAUGCCUAGGAAUCUGCCUGGUAGUGGGGGAUAACGUCCGGAAACGGACGCUAAUACCGCAUACGUCCUACGGGAGAAAGCAGGGGACCUUCGGGCCUUGCGCUAUCAGAUGAGCCUAGGUCGGAUUAGCUAGUUGGUGGGGUAAUGGCUCACCAAGGCGACGAUCCGUAACUGGUCUGAGAGGAUGAUCAGUCACACUGGAACUGAGACACGGUCCAGACUCCUACGGGAGGCAGCAGUGGGGAAUAUUGGACAAUGGGCGAAAGCCUGAUCCAGCCAUGCCGCGUGUGUGAAGAAGGUCUUCGGAUUGUAAAGCACUUUAAGUUGGGAGGAAGGGCAGUAAAUUAAUACUUUGCUGUUUUGACGUUACCGACAGAAUAAGCACCGGCUAACUCUGUGCCAGCAGCCGCGGUAAUACAGAGGGUGCAAGCGUUAAUCGGAAUUACUGGGCGUAAAGCGCGCGUAGGUGGUUCGUUAAGUUGGAUGUGAAAUCCCCGGGCUCAACCUGGGAACUGCAUUCAAAACUGACGAGCUAGAGUAUGGUAGAGGGUGGUGGAAUUUCCUGUGUAGCGGUGAAAUGCGUAGAUAUAGGAAGGAACACCAGUGACGAAGGCGACCACCUGGACUGAUACUGACACUGAGGUGCGAAAGCGUGGGGAGCAAACA
This 699-nucleotide ribosomal RNA is filed under the name uncultured bacterium. RNAcentral describes it as "bacterial SSU rRNA". It matches the Rfam family "Bacterial small subunit ribosomal RNA", at positions 79 to 774 of the family's 1533-position model. The record is from RNAcentral.